CCCUUCGGGUGAGCGGCGGACGGGUGAGUAACGCGUGGGAAUAUGCCCUUUGGUACGGAAUAGUCCUGGGAAACUGGGGGUAAUACCGUAUGCGCCCUUCGGGGGAAAGAUUUAUCGCCAAAGGAUUAGCCCGCGUUGGAUUAGGUAGUUGGUGGGGUAAUGGCCUACCAAGCCGACGAUCCAUAGCUGGUUUGAGAGGAUGAUCAGCCACACUGGGACUGAGACACGGCCCAGACUCCUACGGGAGGCAGCAGUGGGGAAUCUUAGACAAUGGGGGCAACCCUGAUCUAGCCAUGCCGCGUGAGUGAUGAAGGCCCUAGGGUUGUAAAGCUCUUUCAGCUGGGAAGAUAAUGACGGUACCAGCAGAAGAAGCCCCGGCUAACUCCGUGCCAGCAGCCGCGGUAAUACGGAGGGGGCUAGCGUUGUUCGGAAUUACUGGGCGUAAAGCGCACGUAGGCGGACGGGAAAGUUGGGGGUGAAAUCCCGGGGCUCANCCCCGGAACUGCCUUCAAAACUAUCGGUCUGGAGUUCGAGAGAGGUGAGUGGAAUUCCGAGUGUAGAGGUGAAAUUCGUAGAUAUUCGGAGGAACACCAGUGGCGAAGGCGGCUCACUGGCUCGAUACUGACGCUGAGGUGCGAAANCGUGGGGAGCAAACAGGAUUAGAUACCCNGGUAGUCCACGCCGUAAACGAUGAAUGCNAGUCGUCGGGCAGCAUGCUGUUCGGNGACACACCUAACGGAUNAAGCAUUCCNCCUGGGGAGUACGGUCGCAAGAUAAACUNAGNAA
RNAcentral lists this ribosomal RNA (786 nucleotides) under Paracoccus denitrificans. RNAcentral describes it as "bacterial SSU rRNA". It matches the Rfam family "Bacterial small subunit ribosomal RNA", at positions 83 to 907 of the family's 1533-position model. Lineage: Bacteria; Pseudomonadati; Pseudomonadota; Alphaproteobacteria; Rhodobacterales; Paracoccaceae. The record is from RNAcentral.